Hydra vulgaris (swiftwater hydra) is the source of this 146-nucleotide non-coding RNA. The record is from RefSeq and is a predicted model, not a curated record. Lineage: Eukaryota; Metazoa; Cnidaria; Hydrozoa; Anthoathecata; Hydridae.
UAGUUAAGCAAAAUUCUUUAUUAUCAAAGCCUUUUACAGGAUAAAGUUUUAGCUGAUUUAAAAAAGAUGCAAAAUGUUAUUCUCAAGGAGCUUGCAGAAAUAAAAGUUCUUUUAAAAGAAGUUUUAGAAAUUAAGUUUCAGGCUAC